RNAcentral lists this ribosomal RNA (519 nucleotides) under uncultured bacterium. Its description in RNAcentral is "bacterial SSU rRNA". It matches the Rfam family "Bacterial small subunit ribosomal RNA", at positions 28 to 564 of the family's 1533-position model. The record is from RNAcentral.
AAUGAACGUUGGCGGCGUGGAUUAGGCAUGCAAGUCGAGCGUGUACCCGCAAGGGGAAAGCGGCAAACGGGGUAGGAACGCGUAGGUCACGUACCCCUCGGCCGGGGAUAGCCACGGGAAACUGUGGGUAAUACCCGAUGACGCCGAGAGGCCAAAGGUGUGAUUCCGCCGGGGGAGCGGCCUGCGUAGUAUUAGCUAGUUGGUGAGGUAACGGCUCACCAAGGCGAAGAUGCUUAGGGGGUGUGAGAGCAUGACCCCCACCACUGGGACUGAGAUACUGCCCAGACACCUACGGGUGGCCGCAGUCGAGAAUCUUCGGCAAUGGGGGCAACCCUGACCGAGCGACGCCGCGUGUGGGAUGAAGGCCCUUGGGUUGUAAACCACUGUCAGAGGGGAUGAAACGAUCAUGGGUUCUCCCAUGGUCCUGACAUAGCCUCAGAGGAAGCACGGGCUAAGUUCGUGCCAGCAGCCGCGGUAAUACGAACUGUGCAAACGUUAUUCGGAAUCACUGGGCUUAAA